Molecule: ribosomal RNA, 1695 nt
Filed under: Triticum aestivum (bread wheat)
Lineage: Eukaryota; Viridiplantae; Streptophyta; Magnoliopsida; Poales; Poaceae
Description: partial small subunit ribosomal RNA
Source: RNAcentral
UACUGCGUUGUUAGGACAGGCAGGUCGAGUUUGUCGCUGCGUUCGCUGCCCACACUCUUCUACUUCUCGCCGUUCGAGCUGCUAGCUGAGUUCCAGAAGCGACGUUAGGGGGCGUUUUUUUGUUUAUUUUCUUAACUCUAUUAAUUCCACACCACGGAACCGGACGACUCGUAGGUUGAGUGUGUGAAGGUCUCGAGAGUGUGUGGCGGCGGGGCCGUCUUGGCGUGCAACCUCCCUUCCAGCUAGCAGCACGAGACGCGAGGCCGGCUAGCUCGUCUCCGUUAUAAGGAUCUGGACGGACUACACACGAACCGCUAGGGACUUUAAGUCGUCGUGUGAACACGAUUGCUGUGAGAAUGACAAUAAGUCUUCCGUGUGGGUCCCGCGCAAUGCCACAACCUGGACGUCCUAUACUCGAACCGUCCGGUUUAGUGAGGGAGAGAACCUUUGGAUUGGAGAGAAUCUUUUGAAUGCGAUCUAAGUUUAGCGAACAGACCUGUUAACGGGGGAGAGUUGGCAGAAUGUUCUAAUCUCCUCGAAAGAGAUCCGUGGUUGAACGACGUCCCCCUGUAAGGUCUACGUGAAUGUUUGACAUCGUUUGAGUUCAGCGAUUUGGAGCGAGAAUUGUACGAUCACCCAAGUUAAGGGCUUUUGUAUCCAAAGGAGUGGUUAGAUCAUCAAUACCUGGAAAGGCCUUUAUUAAACAGUCCUUAGUAAGGGGUUUGGAAGUCGUUGUAUUCAGCAAAUUCUCUUUACAGUGAACGUCUGUUGGACGAGCACCCUUCGUAAGGAUUUCUCGAACCCGUUAACUGUCUAUAAAGCUAACACAAGGAACCACCUUUGUCGGAUAGUUCAUCGCAAGGACGCUGUGACAAAUUAGACAGGAUGGAAGUUUAUGAUCUGAACCUAUGUUUAUACAAUUCACCGUGUGACGGUAGACUGCAACCAGUAUACGAGGGAUUGGAGGUUAAAGAAAAGAACCCACUUUUGUUCGAACUGCCGGUGUAGGGUCUAAGUAAUCCGUUACGAAGUCUCGACCCGGUCAAACUACCAGAAUACGGUCGGUUGGAUCCUUUAAACAGUGUUGAGUGUGUCAACCUAGAAUCAAUGUUGUUAUAGGUUCCGUUGUAUGGAGAUGUCUAAAGAUCCGAAUUUGUUGAGUACCUUGAUGUGGAAAGUAGCUUGUUCGCAUGACCCCUUUAUGGAUCAUUAAACCUAGUUACACUGUUAAACUAUUGAUAGGUCUAGCUGGUCUUGUACGAUUAUCCCCUUUAGGGUUGUAGAAAACCGUUAGAUUAUCGGAACUUGCACGAAUUAGAAAGAGUCUUAUUGAACAGCCCGUGGCAGGGUCGUUGAGAUUCACUGAAUGUUGAGGAGUCGUUAACCCCUGACACACCUCCCCACCGUCUAGAGGUUUACGGCAAUACAAGACGAUAAAGAGUCUCUAGUCUCUGUCUCAUGAUAAACUAGGGGCGUCGAUCCUAAAUGUUGGAGGGUUGGCGCUCCUACAUAUGGGAGUAGACGAGGAGUCUGUCGGGAGGCCCUCCGCCAGCUUGUCGGGGGGGCCUGCCACAGUGCCUGUCGGGAAGCCCUCCUGGAAGCUUUGAGCUUGCCAGUGAGCCUGUCGGGAAGCCCUCCUGGAAGCUUUGAGCCUGCCAGUGUGCCUGUCGGGAAGCCCUCCGUGAGUGCUUGAUU